GACAGAGGUGCCAAGCGUUAGGCGGAGUCACUGGGCUUAAAGCGUGUGUAGGCGGAAUGGUAAGUACCUUGUGAAAUCCCACGGCUCAACCGUGGAACUGCUGGGUACACUGCCCUUCUUGAGCCACUUAGGGGCUGUCGGAACAAACGGUGGAGCGGUGAAAUGCGUAGACAUCGUUUGGAACGCCAAUGGUGAAAACAGACAGCUGGGAGUGUGCUGACGCUGAGACACGAAAGCCAGGGGAGCGAACGGG
Molecule: ribosomal RNA, 253 nt
Filed under: uncultured bacterium
Lineage: Bacteria
Description: partial 16S ribosomal RNA
Rfam family: Bacterial small subunit ribosomal RNA
Source: RNAcentral